UUGGGUUCAUGCGGAUAAUUGGAUAAAGAAGACCUGCGCUUAGUGCGAUUGGUUGAUGUCAUCAUAUAGGUUCCAGCUUCCUCAGUCGAGAACUAAGAAAAUUUCGUCUAUCAGAGCUAUCUCCAACUCCUAGAAGCAUUCAAUUCCUUUACCUUUAGGCUCAGGUCAGGUAGAAGGAUAGAAAGAAGACAGUCUAGAUAGCAUCUCGGGGCAAAGCAAAACUCAUCCAUGAAAAUGCCGGUGAUCGCUAAUCCAGUCCUAAUCUCACAAAGAAAAAAAGGUGAAUCAAUGAGAUCAUUCUAUUGGUUGGUUAAAAAGUAAAGUUCUAUACGAUAUUAGAAUGCAAGAACUCCAGAAAGAAGACAUUAUAGGGCAGCUAAGAGAUAAAGAGAGGAUUCUUCCCUCAUAAUCAAUGCUUUUAUUUUAGAGCUAGUUCUCCUUUUGCAUUCCGUCCUAGUCAAUGAAGCUUUAAGUAAAUCAGGCUACUUAGUCAAAUCGAGAGGACUAGUCUCAUGACAGGACUUUACCAGUCAUCUCUUCUGUGACAGUCUUUUUGUUUGUGUACAAGGGGAGAGUGAAAGACUCGACAGAUGACUACAUAGUCCGGGCUAUCGCUACCCCCAUGGUGUCACCUAAACGCAGCAUCGAAAGCCACCUGAGAAGGGGUUUUCAUACAGUCAAUUCCACCGUGGGAUUCCCACCUUUUUAUUCCAACCAAUCCGCACAAGACUUGAUACGUGGACUAAUUGACAGUACCGAGUUCUCUACAUGCCUCAACUAGGGAACUCUGUGGUCCCAGCUCCUAUGAUUCCUUUCCUCGUCAAUUCAAACCUUUUGAUUUGACUCAACAUUUUUUGAACCUGAUGAGAA
This 870-nucleotide long non-coding RNA is filed under the name Ricinus communis (castor bean). RNAcentral's name for it is "long non-coding RNA (RCOM_LNC003742)". Lineage: Eukaryota; Viridiplantae; Streptophyta; Magnoliopsida; Malpighiales; Euphorbiaceae. The record is from RNAcentral.